GGACGACACUCUGGAGAACAAUAUUUUUAAUUGUACCGAAGAAGUAAACUGGUAGUUAUAUGGGGAAAAACGAUCAGCAAUCUUUCAGGUAAAAGGACAGAGGCAGACAA
This 110-nucleotide non-coding RNA is filed under the name Dorea sp. CAG:105. RNAcentral describes it as "Glycine riboswitch aptamer". It matches the Rfam family "Glycine riboswitch aptamer". From Rfam's summary of the family: This family represents the bacterial glycine riboswitch. Glycine riboswitches usually consist of two metabolite-binding aptamers domains with similar structures in tandem. RNAcentral also lists the same sequence under 1 other name. The record is from Rfam by way of RNAcentral. Lineage: Bacteria; Bacillati; Bacillota; Clostridia; Lachnospirales; Lachnospiraceae.